AUGUACUUUUCUUUCUCUAUCAGAGUGUGGCCAAAGGUUUCAUUGGUGCUUUGUCAUCAUUGCAAGAUUUCAGAUCAGUUCUUUCAAGGCACCAAACACUGGCACGUGACCAGACUGCUCCACUGCAACUACAUACUAUGUGUACUUUCAAGACUAGGAUUUUUUGUUUUCAUUCCAGAUGACAGCCCUGAAUAUCAGCAGAGACCAAGUCAGCUAGAUGAGCCCCAGAGACAGAUCCUCUCCGAAGACCUCAUUGGCCAUCGGGACAAGACCAAGAGAACCAGACAAGUGCUCUGCUCAAUCUGACCUGUGUUGCAGCCUAGAAUUAAACUACACCAUGCUGUUUUUUUUUUCUGUCUAGAGACUGUGCCUGGUUGCUCCCAAGGUUUUCUACUCAAUCUCUGUCACCGAUGGAGUUUUGGCUCCUUGCCGAUGUCGCCUUUGGUUUGCUUAUUUGGGGAUACUUGACUGAUCGCACAGACAUUAUUGGAAAAGAGCUAAACUGGAUGAUGUCAACACUGAAUCACCAGUGAACUGACUUUAGCUGGAAAAAUGACUCGUUAAUGUCCUCUUGCAUUAUUGACAAUCUAUUUUCCUGUUUGGCUCUGUAAAGCUGCUUUGACACAAUCAGUAUUAGAAAUAGAGGUGACUUGAUUUGAUUUUAUAUACUGUAACACCUGGUUCAUUUAAUUAUUUACUUCUGCCUCAUUUUAAAAAUGUAAUUGUGAACAGUAAUAAUAUUUGUAAAAGUUUAUUUGCUAACAUUUUGUUUAGCUUUAGUUUUUUUUCUUAGUUCAUUAAACAAAGUUUAAACUGAAUUUUGCAGUUGUUUUACAGAUGUAAUGUUUGUCAACUGGAGGUUUAAAGGGAUAGUUUGUUAAUUUACUGACCCUUAGGCCAUCCAAGAUGUAGAUGACUUUUUUCUUAAUUUCCUGUAUGUUCAGUUUGUUUGAAAAAUGUUAUAAAUGGAGAUUAAAUAAAGGCUAUUAUGUGUUGUAAAGUGUAUUUUUA
Long non-coding RNA from Cyprinus carpio (common carp), 1011 nucleotides. The record is from Ensembl. NCBI's taxonomy places the organism in Eukaryota, Metazoa, Chordata, Actinopteri, Cypriniformes, Cyprinidae.